Molecule: long non-coding RNA, 1319 nt
Filed under: Vombatus ursinus (common wombat)
Lineage: Eukaryota; Metazoa; Chordata; Mammalia; Diprotodontia; Vombatidae
Description: lncRNA (ENSVURG00010022590.1)
Source: RNAcentral
UGACCUGAGGCAAAUGCCCCAGACAACUAGCUCUCUACAAGGAGGUGCUGACCUGCAUCAGUAGAGGGGUCUCCUCACCUGGGAGUUCCCUGUGCCAAUGAAAUCACAGGUCCCAUCCCUAUCUCUAUAUGGUUGUUAGGAAAUCUUUCCUUCCAGAACGGGAAAUCUGCCUCUGAAACUGCCACCGUCUGGGAUCAAAGAGCAUAAGUCUGACCCUCUUGCCCACGAGUGCCCGUUGGAGAGUGGGGGCCAAUGUCGGCGUGCUCCCUGGUUCUUCUCUCAGAGGUCAAACAUUGACGGUGCUUUCUACCACUGUUCAUACUGACCGGAAUCAUCCCCCACCCCCUCCUCUGUAUCAAAUACUGUGGAGGAAUGAGCCUCGGUUAAAUCCUACAUUAGGUGACCAGGCACAGGUACUGCUAAAUGAAGAUUAAACAAGAAAAGUCUUCAAGAGGGAUGAGAGGCUCCGAUUGUGUUGACACCAUCAUGAAGAAUGGGGGCCAGCUUCUCUAAAGAGACUGAUGUGAUGUGGCUUCAUAGGGUGCUCUCUAGUGAGCUCAGACUUUAAAAGGAGGUGACAGAUACAGCUCAAUGAAAGAAUAGUCCUAUAAGAAUCCUACAAGAAUCAUCCUCAGAAAGUGAAAAGGAACUGGGGAGUCUGAGGAGAAGUUUCAUUAUGUAAGAGUUUUUUACUGUUGAAGAGAAGCAAGAAAGAGUUGUGAAAUUUUAGCAGAUAACAGAGAGAAAAUGAACCACUCACUUUCUGAGCUUUGCUUUAUUUUGUAUUUUUUCCUAUAUUGCAGAAAAUGUUCUUCAGAUCGAGGAUAGAUUAACAAGGAAUUGAAACUCAAGUUAAGUGUGGGCUGGACCAGAUGACCCAUUGGGAAGCAGGGUGGGUAGGAGGCUAGACUUAAAGUCAGAAGACUUGAAUUCAAAUCCUGCUUCAGACACUAGCUGGGUGACUCCAGAUCAAUCACUCUACCUGCCUGGACCUCAGUUUCCUCAUCCCUAAAAUGAAGGGGUUGGACUAGGUGGCUUCGAAGAUCCCUUCCAGCCCAUCCCAGCAAUGAGGCUCUUCCGGGCGUCCUUGGGUGUAAGGAACUCCCUGUGAGAAAAACUCCCUUCACCAAUACAGACUGGCACCUUCUCUGUGACUUAAGAGUCCAAGAGAGCUGACCUAGCACUGGGCACUGGAGAUAGUGACCUGCCUAGGGUUACCCGGGCAGUCAGCAGGUAUCAGACAUAGGCCUUGACACAAGGUCUUCUGGGCUCAGAGACUGGUCCCCAUCUAUUCUUCCUGUCCAAACAGUACUCUGAUG